RNAcentral lists this ribosomal RNA (497 nucleotides) under uncultured bacterium. RNAcentral describes it as "partial 16S ribosomal RNA". It matches the Rfam family "Bacterial small subunit ribosomal RNA", at positions 28 to 507 of the family's 1533-position model. The record is from RNAcentral.
GACGAACGCUGGCGGCGUGCCUAAUACAUGCAAGUUGAGCGCACGAGCGAGGUGCUUGUUCCUACUGUGUGAGCAGCGGACGGGUGAGUAACACGUGGAUAAUCUACCUUUAAGACUGGGACAACUUCUGGAAACGAUAGCUAAUACCGCAUAAAAUCUUUAACCACAUGGUUUAAGAUUGAAAGAUGCAAUUGCAUCACUUUAUAGUGAUACCGCGUUGUAUUAGCUAGUUGGGGAUGUAAAGGCUCACCCAGGCCAUCAAACCUUAGCCGACUGGGAGGGUGAUCCGCCAAAAUGGGACCGAGAAAAGGCCCAAAAUCCCAAGGGAGGGAGCAGUAGGGAAUCUUCGGGAAUGGACGAAAGGCUGAACGAGGAACGCCGCGUGAGUGGAGAAGGGUGUCGGGACGGAAAACUCCGUUGGUAGGGAAGAACGUUGGUGGGAGUGGAAAGCGCAUAAAGUGACGGUAACUACUCAGAAAGGGACGGCUAACUACGUG